UACGGAGGAUCCAAGCGUUAUCCGGAAUCAUUGGGCUUAAAGGGUCCGUAGGCGGUUUUAUAAGUCAGUUGUGAAAUCCGGUAGCUCAACUAUCGAACGGCCAUUGAUACUGUAGAACUUGAAUUAUUGUGAAGUAACUAGAAUAUGUAGUGUAGCGGUGAAAUGCUUAGAUAUUACAUGGAAUACCAAUUGCGAAGGCAGGUUACUAACAAGAUAUUGACGCUGAUGGACGAAAGCGUGGGGAGCGAACAGG
RNAcentral lists this ribosomal RNA (253 nucleotides) under uncultured bacterium. Its description in RNAcentral is "partial 16S ribosomal RNA". It matches the Rfam family "Bacterial small subunit ribosomal RNA", at positions 524 to 776 of the family's 1533-position model. The record is from RNAcentral.